CCUACGGGUGGCAGCAGUGGGGAAUAUUGGGCAAUGGGCGCAAGCCUGACCCAGCAACGCCGCGUGAAGGAAGAAGGCUUUCGGCUCGUAAAGCUCUGUUGUUGGAGAAGAACGUGCGUGAGAGUAACUGUUCACGCAGUGACGGUAUCCAACCAGAAAGUCACGGCUAACUACGUGCCAGCAGCCGCGGUAAUACGUAGGUGGCAAGCGUUAUCCGGAUUUAUUGGGCGUAAAGCGAGCGCAGGCGGUUGCUUAGGUCUGAUGUGAAAGCCUUCGGCUUAACCGAAGAAGUGCAUCGGAAACCGGGCGACUUGAGUGCAGAAGAGGACAGUGGAACUCCAUGUGUAGCGGUGGAAUGCGUAGAUAUAUGGAAGAACACCAGUGGCGAAGGCGGCUGUCUGGUCUGCAACUGACGCUGAGGCUCGAAAGCAUGGGUAGCGAACAGGAUUAGAUACCCGAGUAGUC
This 465-nucleotide ribosomal RNA is filed under the name uncultured bacterium. RNAcentral's name for it is "partial 16S ribosomal RNA". It matches the Rfam family "Bacterial small subunit ribosomal RNA", at positions 338 to 795 of the family's 1533-position model. The record is from RNAcentral.